Molecule: non-coding RNA, 97 nt
Organism: Populus trichocarpa (black cottonwood)
Lineage: Eukaryota; Viridiplantae; Streptophyta; Magnoliopsida; Malpighiales; Salicaceae
Source: Rfam
GAUGUGGGGGAAUGUCGUCUGACUCGAGACAACAGGUAAACUGAAGGAAUGGCCGGAGUUUAAGAGUUCUCUCGGACCAGGCUUCAUUCCCCUCAUC